RNAcentral lists this ribosomal RNA (820 nucleotides) under Didymella negriana. RNAcentral's name for it is "eukaryotic LSU rRNA". It matches the Rfam family "Eukaryotic large subunit ribosomal RNA", at positions 124 to 962 of the family's 3401-position model. The record is from RNAcentral. Lineage: Eukaryota; Fungi; Ascomycota; Dothideomycetes; Pleosporales; Didymellaceae.
GGCGUCUUUGGCGUCCGAGUUGUAAUUUGCAGAGGGCGCUUUGGCAUUGGCAGCGGUCCAAGUUCCUUGGAACAGGACGUCACAGAGGGUGAGAAUCCCGUACGUGGUCGCUAGCCUUUACCGUGUAAAGCCCCUUCGACGAGUCGAGUUGUUUGGGAAUGCAGCUCUAAAUGGGAGGUAAAUUUCUUCUAAAGCUAAAUACUGGCCAGAGACCGAUAGCGCACAAGUAGAGUGAUCGAAAGAUGAAAAGCACUUUGGAAAGAGAGUUAAAAAGCACGUGAAAUUGUUGAAAGGGAAGCGCUUGCAGCCAGACUUGCCUGUAGUUGCUCAUCCGGGUUUCUACCCGGUGCACUCUUCUAUAGGCAGGCCAGCAUCAGUUUGGGCGGUUGGAUAAAGGUCUCUGUCAUGUACCUCUCUUCGGGGAGAACUUAUAGGGGAGACGACAUGCAACCAGCCUGGACUGAGGUCCGCGCAUCUGCUAGGAUGCUGGCGUAAUGGCUGUAAGCGGCCCGUCUUGAAACACGGACCAAGGAGUCUAACAUCUAUGCGAGUGUUUGGGUGUCAAGCCCGAGCGCGUAAUGAAAGUGAACGGAGGUGGGAACCUUUCGGGGUGCACCAUCGACCGAUCCUGAUGUCUUCGGAUGGAUUUGAGUAAGAGCAUAGCUGUUGGGACCCGAAAGAUGGUGAACUAUGCUUGAAUAGGGUGAAGCCAGAGGAAACUCUGGUGGAGGCUCGCAGCGGUUCUGACGUGCAAAUCGAUCGUCAAAUUUGGGCAUAGGGGCGAAAGACUAAUCGAACUAUCUAGUAGCUGGUUCCUGCC